Molecule: unclassified non-coding RNA, 198 nt
Filed under: fungal sp.
Lineage: Eukaryota; Fungi
Description: partial internal transcribed spacer region
Rfam family: Eukaryotic small subunit ribosomal RNA (bases 1-46)
Source: RNAcentral
AAGUCGUAACAAGGUUUCCGUAGGUGAACCUGCGGAAGGAUCAUUAACACGUAUCCAACGUUAAAACCACGGCCGGCGACCGGUCACCGGGCUCACGCCCCUUAAUAACCUUUGCAUGAAAACGGGCCUGCGCUUAAUUGUGCGGCCAUAAACCGAACAACUGUUAACAAUGGAUAUCUUGGUUGAUGAAGAACGCAG